This 234-nucleotide ribosomal RNA is filed under the name uncultured Staphylococcus sp. RNAcentral's name for it is "partial 16S ribosomal RNA". It matches the Rfam family "Bacterial small subunit ribosomal RNA", at positions 524 to 757 of the family's 1533-position model. Lineage: Bacteria; Bacillati; Bacillota; Bacilli; Caryophanales; Staphylococcaceae. The record is from RNAcentral.
UACGUAGGUGGCAAGCGUUAUCCGGAAUUAUUGGGCGUAAAGCGCGCGUAGGCGGUUUUUUAAGUCUGAUGUGAAAGCCCACGGCUCAACCGUGGAGGGUCAUUGGAAACUGGAAAACUUGAGUGCGGAAGAGGAAAGUGGAAUUCCAUGUGUAGCGGUGAAAUGCGCAGAGAUAUGGAGGAACACCAGUGGCGAAGGCGACUUUCUGGUCUGUAACUGACGCUGAUGUGCGAA